RNAcentral lists this ribosomal RNA (232 nucleotides) under uncultured bacterium. RNAcentral describes it as "partial 16S ribosomal RNA". It matches the Rfam family "Bacterial small subunit ribosomal RNA", at positions 104 to 334 of the family's 1533-position model. The record is from RNAcentral.
CGGGGUGAGUAACGCGUGGGUAACCUGCCUCGUACAGGGGGAUAACAGUUAGAAAUGACCGCUAAUACCGCAUGAGCGCACAGUGCUGCAUGGCACAGUGUGAAAAACUCCGGUGGUAUGAGAUGGACCCGCGUCUGAUUAGCUAGUUGGUGGGGUAACGGCCUACCAAGGCGACGAUCAGUAGCCGGCCUGAGAGGGUGAACGGCCACAUUGGGACUGAGACACGGCCCAA